UACGGAAGGCAGCAGUGGGGAAUAUUGCACAAUGGGCGCAAGCCUGAUGCAGCCAUGCCGCGUGUAUGAAAAAGGCCUUCGGGUUGUAAAGUACUUUCAGUCGUGAGGAAGGUGUUAAGGUUAAUAACCUUAGCAAUUGACGUUAGCGACAGAAGAAGCACCGGCUAACUCCGUGCCAGCAGCCGCGGUAAUACGGAGGGUGCGAGCGUUAAUCGGAAUUACUGGGCGUAAAGGGCACGCAGGCGGUUAAUUAAGUUGGAUGUGAAAUCCCCGGGCUUAACCUGGGAAUGGCAUUCAAGACUGGUUAGCUAGAGUCUUGUAGAGGGGGUAGAAUUCCAUGUGUAGCGGUGAAAUGCGUAGAGAUGUGGAGGAAUACCGGUGGCGAAGGCGGCCCCUGGACAAAGACUGACGCUCAUGUGCGAAAGCGUGGGGAGCAAACAGGGAUUAGAUCC
RNAcentral lists this ribosomal RNA (452 nucleotides) under uncultured bacterium. Its description in RNAcentral is "bacterial SSU rRNA". It matches the Rfam family "Bacterial small subunit ribosomal RNA", at positions 340 to 785 of the family's 1533-position model. The record is from RNAcentral.